RNAcentral lists this ribosomal RNA (502 nucleotides) under uncultured bacterium. Its description in RNAcentral is "partial 16S ribosomal RNA". It matches the Rfam family "Bacterial small subunit ribosomal RNA", at positions 30 to 523 of the family's 1533-position model. The record is from RNAcentral.
AUUGAACGCUGGCGGCAUGCCUUACACAUGCAAGUCGAACGGCAGCAUAGGAGCUUGCUCCUGAUGGCGAGUGGCGAACGGGUGAGUAAUAUAUCGGAACGUGCCCUAGAGUGGGGGAUAACUAGUCGAAAGACUAGCUAAUACCGCAUACGAUCUACGGACGAAAGUGGGGGAUCGCAAGACCUCAUGCCCCUGGAGCGGACGAUAUCUGAUUAGCUAGUUGGUGGGGUAAAAGCUCACCAAGGCGACGAUCAGUAGACGGUCUGAGAGGACAGCCUGCCACACUGGGACUGGAACACGGCCCAGACUCCUACGGGAGGCAGCAGUGGGGAAUUUUGGACAAUGGGGGCAACCCUGAUCCAGCAAUGCCGCGUGAGUGAAGAAGGCCUUCGGGUUGUAAAGCUCUUUUGUCAGGGAAGAAACGGUUCUGGAUAAUACCUGGGACUAACGACGGUACCUGAAGAAUAAGCACCGGCUAACUACGUGCCAGCCGCCGCGGUAA